CCAUACAAGUAUGAAUCGCCGCCGCCACCACCAUACAAGUAUGAAUCGCCUCCUCCACCACCAUAUAAGUACGAAUCGCCACCGCCACCACCAUACAAGUACGAGUCGCCUCCUCCACCUCCGUACAAGUAUGAAUCGCCUCCUCCCCCACCAUACUACUACAAAUCACCACCACCACCUCCUUACAAGUAUGAAUCUCCCCCUCCACCUCCAUAUUACUACAAAUCUCCACCCCCGCCACCACCUUACUACUACAAAUCACCACCACCACCUUCUCCUGUCUACAAAUAUAAAUCUCCACCACCACCACCUUACAAGUACGAAUCUCCUCCUCCACCUCCAUACUAUUACAAGUCUCCACCACCACCGCCGUAUUACUACAAGUCUCCACCACCACCACCUCCAGUUUACAAAUACAAAUCUCCUCCUCCGCCACCAUAUUACUACAAAUCACCACCUCCUCCAUCACCAGUAUAUUACUACAAAUCUCCUCCUCCACCAGCGUAUUACUACAAAUCUCCCCCACCGCCUGUCUACUAUUACAAAUCCCCGCCACCUCCAGCUUACCACUACCAAUCGCCACCCCCACCAAGUUACAAGCUGGUAGUGGUCACGGGCAAGGUCUAUUGCAACAGAUGCUGGAACACCACAAGCAGAUACCUUCAGGCAUCACCACAUGGGUCUGCUAGGUACAUUCUCAAUUGCAUUGUAUUCGAUAUUGUUCUCCUCACUCAUUUCCUCUUGAUACUGUGUGCAAUAAUGCAGGUGGCAAAGUGAAGAUCACAUGUGGCGAAUCUUACUACUACGGCUACACCAACAAGCAUGGAAUCUUUAGAAUUGAGCUCCCGCACCAAUCCUGGGAAGAAGCAAGCAGCUGCAAGGCCAAGAUUAUCAAGAGCAGCUACAUCAAGUCGUCAUGCAAUGUCAUCACGGACUACAGGUCUGGUGCAACAGGGGCCAAGCUCAAGUUCAAAUCGAAAACAGAGAAGGAGCUCGUCUUGACAGCCGGUCCUUUCAUCUAUGCAACUCCAGAGCCAUCGUCAGUCUGCUUCUACACAUCACCUCCCUAUGAGUACAAGUCACCUCCGCCACCAACACCGGUCUACCAUUACGCCUCUCCGCCACCUCCGGUCUACUACUACAAAUCGCCACCUCCUCCUUCACCGGUUUACUACUACAAAUCCCCUCCUCCUCCUUCGCCGGUCUACUAUUACAAAUCCCCGCCUCCACCACCAUACUAUUACAAGUCCCCACCUCCACCUCCGCCUAAGUAUUACUACAAGUCGCCCCCACCACCGUCUCCAUACUAUUACAAAUCCCCGCCCCCUCCACCGUACUAUUACAAAUCCCCACCACCACCUCCCUACAAAUACGAAUCGCCGCCGCCUCCUCCUUACAAAUACGAGUCCCCACCUCCACCACCUUACUAUUACAAGUCCCCACCACCACCUCCAUACAAAUAUGAAUCCCCGCCACCUCCAGUCUACAAAUAUGAGUCUCCGCCACCCCCAGUUUACAAAUACAAGUCGCCACCACCACCAUACAAGUACGAGUCACCACCACCACCUCCAUACAAGUAUGAAUCCCCGCCACCUCCACCUUAUUACUACAAGUCCCCUCCACCACCACCAUACAAGUACGAGUCGCCACCACCUCCUCCGUACAAGUAUGAAUCUCCACCACCACCAGUUUACAAAUACAAGUCACCUCCGCCGCCACCUUAUUACUACAAAUCCCCACCGCCACCUCCAUACAAGUACGAGUCUCCACCUCCUCCUCCGUACAAGUAUGAAUCUCCACCACCACCACCUUAUUACUACAAAUCCCCCCCGCCACCUCCAUACAAGUACGAGUCACCGCCUCCUCCUCCGUACAAGUAUGAAUCUCCACCACCGCCAGUUUACAAAUACAAGUCACCCCCGCCACCACCUUAUUACUACAAAUCCCCGCCACCACCUCCAUACAAGUACGAGUCUCCACCUCCUCCUCCGUACAAGUAUGAAUCUCCACCACCACCUCCUUAUUACUACAAAUCCCCGCCGCCACCUCCCUACAAGUAUGAAUCCCCGCCACCACCUCCCUACAAAUACGAGUCACCUCCACCACCACCUUACUAUUACAAAUCUCCUCCACCGCCUCCAUACAAGUAUGAGUCGCCACCACCACCAGUCUACAAAUACGAGUCUCCGCCACCCCCAGUUUACAAAUACAAGUCGCCCCCUCCACCUUAUUACUACAAGUCUCCGCCACCCCCGCCAUACAAAUAUGAAUCCCCACCUCCACCUCCCUACAAGUAUGAAUCGCCUCCUCCUCCACCUUACUACUACAAGUCCCCUCCACCACCUCCCUACAAAUAUGAAUCCCCGCCACCACCUCCCUAUAAAUACGAGUCACCACCACCACCACCUUACUAUUACAAAUCUCCUCCACCGCCUCCAUACAAGUAUGAGUCGCCACCACCACCUCCCUACAAAUACGAGUCACCACCACCACCACCUUACAAGUAUGAAUCCCCACCUCCACCUCCGUACAAGUAUGAAUCACCUCCACCGCCUCCAUACAAGUAUGAAUCCCCUCCUCCACCUCCCUACAAAUACGAGUCACCACCCCCACCACCUUAUUACUACAAAUCGCCUCCGCCACCGGAGUAUCAAUCACCUCCUUACGUGUAUAAAUCUCCAC
RNAcentral lists this long non-coding RNA (2682 nucleotides) under Selaginella moellendorffii. RNAcentral describes it as "long non-coding RNA (SMOE_LNC002368)". The record is from RNAcentral. Lineage: Eukaryota; Viridiplantae; Streptophyta; Lycopodiopsida; Selaginellales; Selaginellaceae.